GACGAACGCUGGCGGCGUGCUUAACACAUGCCAGUCGAACGGAAAGGCCCUGCUUUUGUGGGGUGCUCGAGUGGCGAACGGGUGAGUAACACGUGAGUAACCUGCCCUUGACUUUGGGAUAACUUCAGGAAACUGGGGCUAAUACCGGAUAGGAGCUCCUGCUGCAUGGUGGGGGUUGGAAAGUUUCGGCGGUUGGGGAUGGACUCGCGGCUUAUCAGCUUGUUGGUGGGGUAGUGGCUUACCAAGGCUUUGACGGGUAGCCGGCCUGAGAGGGUGACCGGCCACAUUGGGACUGAGAUACGGCCCAGACUCCUACGGGAGGCAGCAGUGGGGAAUAUUGCACAAUGGGCGGAAGCCUGAUGCAGCAACGCCGCGUGCGGGAUGACGGGCUACGGGUUGUAAACCGCUUUCGAAUGUGACGAAGCGUGAGUGACGGUAAUGGGUAAAGAAGCACCGGCUAACUACGUG
RNAcentral lists this ribosomal RNA (468 nucleotides) under uncultured bacterium. RNAcentral describes it as "partial 16S ribosomal RNA". It matches the Rfam family "Bacterial small subunit ribosomal RNA", at positions 28 to 507 of the family's 1533-position model. The record is from RNAcentral.